RNAcentral lists this long non-coding RNA (1399 nucleotides) under Chinchilla lanigera (long-tailed chinchilla). RNAcentral describes it as "lncRNA (ENSCLAG00000026542.1)". Lineage: Eukaryota; Metazoa; Chordata; Mammalia; Rodentia; Chinchillidae. The record is from RNAcentral.
CCGCGUUCCCAGGGUGUCCUUGCCCUCCAUGUCUAUGGAGACCCUAGUGUGUCUCUAGGGCUCCGCGAAAGUGGCUGCUGUCUCCAGGUCCCUCUGUCCCCACCUGUGUGUGGGGGGUGGUCCCAGAAGGUCCCUGAUGGCACCGCGCUUUACAGUACGUAGAGUGCAUCUUCGUGUCACCAUUCCUGCCGCUAUCAAGCUCUUCAGAACAAUCAAAAACCGAGGUAGCGGAGUCAGACGACUGGUCCAGGUCUGGCUGGACCGCGGGGGCCUAGACAGGCUGAGAGCCAGGUGCGCCUCCGGUCACGUGCAGAAGAGGGCGCCAAGGGCCCGCCACCGGACCAGGCGUCCGGAUCUACCCACCUCCGCGGCUCGGGUGAGGCUCCAGCCCGAAGCUUCGUAGCCUCCUGGAGGAGGAGAGGAGCGCGGAGAGGAACUGGGCCCGGGGUGUCCGGGAGGAGUGGCGGGGAGAGGAGAAGAAAGGUCUGAACUCAAGAUUUCAAUUCCGAAAGCUCAGCUGCCUCUCCUAGCUGUGUGACCUCUGAUGUGAGGUCUGACCUCUCUGCGCUUUAUCUGUAAUUAUGGAAAUAAAAUUCCCGCCCCCCGCCACCACUUUAGCCCAGCCCGCCAAAGACUCCUAAGCGCACAAAUGAGGUGGUUGAUUCAGGCUCGCUGUGCAAACGCUAAAGCCCCAUUCACAGCCUUCGCUCCGGCCGGAGGGUGCUAGAAGUCGCCUCCAACUUCUGCAGACUCGGGGAGCUCGGGAAGCCAGAACAGCUCGAGAAGCCAAAGAACCCGAAUGCUCUGGCCGACCCACCCCGUUCCCGCCUGGUGGCAUAGCCGGGGCUCAGAGAGGUUAGGGAGCCAUCCCCAGGCGGCACAGCAGGCCAAGGACGCCUCCCAUGACAGCUUCAGCGCGGGAUGCCUCCUCGAGUGGAGAAGAGCAGCCCUCUCGCUGCGCGGAGUUCAGCCCCGUCUACACCGCCAGAACUGGAGAGCCGAGCCGGAGAAAAGCAAAUUCAACCCGAGGGACCUCAGUCGAGGUGCGGGUGUCGGGCAGGUCCCCUGCCGCCGGGCUUCUCCGCACCCAGUCCUCUCGCCUCGGCGUCUCCCUCCGACCCUGUCCCGGGCCUCCACCUUCCUGACCUCUCCUGUCUGUCCGGGCUUCUGCGUAUCCCUCUCCCUGUCUCUUCCCUACGUUCCGACCUUGAGUACCGUGAUUACUGGUUCCACACCGGCUGGCUGAGCCACUUUCUCUGUCCCUGCAUCCGAUCUCUGCCUCCCCAUGAAGCUGCCCCUCCCACCCCGGCGAAGGAACACACACCGGCAGAAUCCGCCUUUUCAAUAAAAAACUACAACUGGGAAACAGUGAAUUAAAAAGCAUUAACUUAAAAACAAU